This 301-nucleotide ribosomal RNA is filed under the name uncultured bacterium. RNAcentral's name for it is "partial 16S ribosomal RNA". It matches the Rfam family "Bacterial small subunit ribosomal RNA", at positions 355 to 670 of the family's 1533-position model. The record is from RNAcentral.
UGGGGAAUAUUGGACAAUGGGGGCAACCCUGAUCCAGCAAUGCCGCGUGUGUGAAGAAGGUCUUCGGAUUGUAAAGCACUUUCGACGGGGACGAUGAUGACGGUACCCGUAGAAGAAGCCCCGGCUAACUUCGUGCCAGCAGCCGCGGUAAUACGAAGGGGGCUAGCGUUGCUCGGAAUGACUGGGCGUAAAGGGCGUGUAGGCGGUUUACACAGUCAGAUGUGAAAAUCCCCCGGGCUUAACCUGGGAGCUGCAUUUGAUACGUGUAGACUAGAGUGUGAGAGAGGGUUUGUGGAAUUCC